UUUAAUAUUGUUUCGUUUUCUUCUUCUUCUUAAGUCCUUGACCAAUCUUCCAUGUUCUCCGGUAUUAAUCAUUUUCAUCUUUUUCUUUGUUCAUAUUCUUCUAAAGAGUAGAGAGUUUUGCAACUAUGUAAAGAAACAAAAGAGAAAGAGUAGAUGCUAUUUUAAACACACCCACCUACUUUUUAAGUUCCACGUUCGUUCAUCAUCACUACCUCUCUAUUCUCAUCAUCCUCUCCGAAUCACUAAAAAUCACUAACACAAAUCAUUUAUUUUCACCCCUCAACAUCACCAUUUCUUAAAAAUCGUAUAUAAGUGUAGUAGGAGACUGACAACAUUGAUUUAGUAUGGAGAAACCUCUUGAUGAGGCGGAGAAUACAACAUCUUUCAAGCUUCAACUAGGAGGCAAAGUGUUCUAUGACCGUGGAGGCUCAACGAAAUAUUUGUGGAGCACCAUUGGGACAUGGGUGGAAUUGGAAAAAUAUGGCUUUCGGAUAUGCAGUUCGUGUUAUCAUUAAGGUGUUAUUAAAGCUCAAAAUAGAGAGUUCCGAUGUUAAUCCUAAGGUUUGGGGUAGCCUUGUAACUAAAUAUAGUCGUCAUGAUUAUUCAUCGCGCUUCUCCGAGCAAAAGUUCUCAUAUGUUAAAGUGAUCAAGAUUGGUGAAGGUUUCAAGACUGUAGAGACAAAUGAUUAUCUCUUUCGUAUCGAGUUAGAUUGGUGUAAGGUUAAGUGAUAUUUAUUGUAUAGGUGUUUCCGAACUUUAAAUAGAUUUACAAGUGAGAUUAUGUAUCGAGUUAGAUUGGUGUAAGGAUAAAUGAUAUUUAUUGUAUAUGUGUUUGAUUGUGUA
This is a long non-coding RNA of Trifolium pratense (red clover), 843 nucleotides long. RefSeq lists it as uncharacterized. The record is from RefSeq and is a predicted model, not a curated record. The transcript has 2 exons. NCBI's taxonomy places the organism in Eukaryota, Viridiplantae, Streptophyta, Magnoliopsida, Fabales, Fabaceae.